GAUGAACGCUGGCAGCGUGCCUAAUACAUGCAAGUCGAGCGAACGGACGAGAAGCUUGCUUCUCUGAUGUUAGCGGCGGACGGGUGAGUAACACGUGGAUAACCUACCUAUAAGACUGGGAUAACUUCGGGAAACCGGAGCUAAUACCGGAUAAUAUUUUGAACCGCAUGGUUCAAAAGUGAAAGACGGUCUUGCUGUCACUUAUAGAUGGAUCCGCGCUGCAUUAGCUAGUUGGUAAGGUAACGGCUACCAAGGCAACGAUGCAUAGCCGACCUGAGAGGGUGAUCGGCCACACUGGAACUGAGACACGGUCCAGACUCCUACGGGAGGCAGCAGUAGGGAAUCUUCCGCAAUGGGCGAAAGCCUGACGGAGCAACGCCGCGUGAGUGAUGAAGGUCUUCGGAUCGUAAAACUCUGUUAUUAGGGAAGAACAUAUGUGUAAGUAACUGUGCACAUCUUGACGGUACCUAAUCAGAAAGCCACGGCUAACUACGUG
Molecule: ribosomal RNA, 496 nt
Filed under: uncultured bacterium
Lineage: Bacteria
Description: partial 16S ribosomal RNA
Rfam family: Bacterial small subunit ribosomal RNA
Source: RNAcentral